This is a long non-coding RNA of Gossypium arboreum, 1102 nucleotides long. RefSeq lists it as uncharacterized. The transcript has 4 exons. The record is from RefSeq and is a predicted model, not a curated record. NCBI's taxonomy places the organism in Eukaryota, Viridiplantae, Streptophyta, Magnoliopsida, Malvales, Malvaceae.
GUCAGUCACAAUAGCUGGACACCAUGAAAACUUGUCUUUUCAUACCAACCACCCAGCAUUAAUAAUAGCAGUUUCCAAAAAGAUCUUUUACUACUGCUAUCAAUAUUUUCUGAAAAAAUUCUUUAGUCCAUUCAGUUCGGUUGUCUCGGUCUCGGUCUCUCCCUCUCCUGAUGAACACGACUUGGAUUCGUCCCCAAUAGGAAUGAAAUGAAACCCGAUUUACUGGAAAUAUGCUUUUUUGCUUUGGAUGUGUCUGAUGGUCGCCCCUGUAAUCGAUUUAUCGUGAUCUAUAUUUUUUCAUUUUGUUAUCAUUGUUCUCGAUUCCCCCAUUAUUUCCAGAGUGUUAAAACCCAUUGUAAUACCUAACUGAAUAGCUUAUAAUCCUGCAUGUGCCUCCGCCGCAAAUGGAGAUGGUAUUUUGGAAUGAAUAACCAUCUUCAAAGCCACGAUCUCCCCCCACGUCGCAUACUACCAAACCCAAAGCAAAUUUGGAGGAUCUCCUGUUGAAUACUGCAUCAAAGUAGACUUUUGCUCUCAUACUUCUUUCUAUCGGUUUGUGGCCUCUGUCGAUAUUUAGAAUAAACUGAUUCUUGUGAGUCCAGAUUGACCAUAGCCCACAGAAAAACAGGUGACAUUGCUCUUUGGUUCCCUGACUGAAAACCCAGGAUAGUGCCAAAAAAUGUGAUUACUAUCUUCAUCGGAGUUGUGACACCGGGGACAGAGAGUUUCCACUGUAAUUUUUUUAUUCUUGAGAUUAGAUAAAGUAGGGAUAUAAUUCCAGGAGAUUCUCCAAAUUGUAAUUUUAAUUUUUGAGUGAAGCUAUAAAUUCCAUAAUUUUCUAUGGAAGUUUCUAAUCUGGGUCUGUAUAAAAUUAUUACUAGGACUCGAAUUAGUCUCUUGUAAUAGUUUAUAGGCACUUCUGACUGAGAACUCCCUUGACAGUUCCCCUCUCUACACUUGGAAGUCAUCGUAAAUUGUCUCUGCCAAAGGGAUCUGUAGAAUUUUCUUAGCAGUAUCCUCAUUGAAGGUACAAAAAAUUAAACUUGUACUCCAAGUUUUGUUAUCGGCAUCAAUCAAAUCUGAUACUAACUUAAUAUUCUCA